CUGGAGCUAAGCCGGGCCGCCUCCAGCUCCACUCAGACCGUUCAAAAACAUCCAAUUACUGCUGGAACAUGCAAAUGUGAGUAAUAAGAGAAUUGAUCAAUCCAAGCCCAGGGCUCCCUGGAGACUGUUAAUUUUGUAAGGUUGUAGUUUUUACUGUGUAUAACAUGAUUUACUUGACUCAUUGAUUUUAAAGCCUUUUUUUUCCAGAAUGAUCAUUUGGAGACCCGUUCAAAGACACAAGUUUUGCAUUUUGGUUUCAACUCAAGAAUAUAACGUGCAAGCAGGUGUCAAAAAGUAAAGUGCGUGAGCUCUAUGUGCUCAAGGUUCAUCUAGAUGCAGGAGUCUGAACUAGCCUGGUGAACAGGAGGCUAAGUCAACUGCAAAUCCAUUUAUUUCAAUCUUGGAGGUAUUUAAUGCAUCUGGAAACUCUUCCAAUCUUUACGGUUUCAGUCUGUAUUCAGCCUUGAGUAUACAGUACAGGCCAAAAGUUUGGACACACCUUCUCAUUCAAUGCAUUUUCUUUAUUCUCAUUACUAUUUAAAUUGUAGAUUCUCACUGAGGGCAUCAAAACUAUGAAUGAACACAUGUGGAAUCAUGUGCUUAAGAAAAAAGUGUGAAAUAACUGAAAACAUGUUUUAUAUUUUAGAUUUCUCAAAGUAGCCACUCUUUGCUUUUUUGAUAGCACUGCAAACUUUUGCUGUUCUCUCAAUGAGCUUCAUGAGGUAGUCACCUGAAAUGGUUUUUACUUCACAGGUGUGCCUUGUCAGGGUUACUUUAUACUUCUGUCAUCAAGAGCAAAGGGUGGCUAUUUUAAAGAAAGUAGAAUAUAAAACAUGUUUUCAGUUAUUUCACACUUUUUUUAUAAGUACAAAAUUCUACAUGUGUUCAUUCAUAGUUUUGAUGCCUUCAGGGAUAAUCUACAAUGUAAAUAGUCAUAAAAAAAAAAUAAAGAAAACACAUUGAAUGAGAAGGUGUGUCCAAACUUUUGGCCUGUACUGUAUCUUAAAAAUUUAAUAUCUAAGGUGGACUUUGGCCAUCGGUGUAGCAGUGCUCUUCCGGAACUCACAGGCUGCUACCAGCCCAACAGGGCAUUUCCUCAAGCAAAGACACGUUUCAUUGUCAUGUGAGGUUGAAAGUUUAAAAAAGUGGAAGACACCUCAUGGAGGCUAUCUCAGCUGCUAUCAUGUUGACUGUUGGGUGAGUUUGCAUGAUUCAAAUAAACAUGUCCACACAUGGGGAAUCUAAGUGACGUUAUUCUGCUAAAAUAUGGCUGUUAUACAAAGUGGAGCGGCCACCUCAAUGAAUGCAUGCUCUCUCCCACACAUGUUCAUAAACAUGCCAAACAUUUCCCUCCCUGUCAGUGUCUCAAAUUAACAUCCCUACUUCUUCUUCCCUCUUCUCUGUUGUAUAGCGUAACCGAGGGUGCACACUUGUAGCUCCAUCUUUUAACUUAAUUCACACACCUACUUACCUGUCGAAGGCGUGUCACGCUCAUGUUUUGAAAGAGGAAACGGAUUGUGUGAUUUCCACAGAGUAAAUAGGAGGAAAUGGCAGGCAAAAGUGAUCACACAAUUGAGAAAAAGUUCAUCUCUGGUUAAUUUUUUAUAAAUCUCUAAAAAAGUCUUUGGCAGCACUGCACUUUUGGGCACUUUGUUAGGCCAGGACUGUCAUUUAAGUCGAUGGCCGACCCUCUGCUAGGAGAGACGACUUGAGCACGAUCUGAAAGCCUCACUAUCUGAUGAAAAAAGACUCUUAUUAAAGUCUAUAGCUGACCCUCCACAUCAAAAAUAGACACGGGGUACCCAGUGUGCGUCGCUUACUGACAUAAAGGGCUCCUGACCGUCUAUCCAUAUCUUACGAGUAAGGAAUGAGAUAGUGUUGGGGUAGAGGAACUGCAGCAGCCUGAAGAUUCUACAGUGUCAGAUGGGUGAGGACACUGGAAAUCACCUGUUAAGGUUUGAGCAUACUAGGAAAACUUGGAAGUGGCCUGAGAGUGAGUGGACCUGCUGACUUGUUCCACUGUUGACUGGUAAGGUGUUGGAAGACAUAGAGAGAUCCCAUUGAUACAUGGACCUGAAAGCAGCCCUGCUGACCUAUAGGAACUAUACCGACACUGGAUCCAGCCUGAGCGGCACAACAAGAGGAGAUCAGUAAGACCAUCACCUUGGAGCUCCUCUGGGUGCUCCCUGCUGGGGUGAGGGAGCACGAGCCAGCGGAGGGUCUGGCAGCUGCAAAGCUGGCUCUGCAGAACCUGAAUGCACGGAGAAGGGGUCCAGCUCCACACACCACCAUGGCACCACACUGACUGGCACCCCAGUAACUCCAGCAGAGAAAGAGCAACCAGGGGCAGACAGGAGAAACUUGUACUGCUCCAGUGUUUGUACUGUCAGCAGCUUGGCCACAAAGCUUCUGUGUGUCCAUAAUCAAAGUCAAGGUCACAGGUGCUUGCUAUGGUCCCAGGUUAGAGGUGGAGCCUGCAGAUGACAAGAACAUCAUGAGACGUUACUGCUCUGCUUGACAGUGGCAGCAUCAUGUCGCCGGUCAAACAGUGUGGUUCCUGUAGGCUGUGUGGACUACAGCUGACCGGAGCAUGUUUGACUGUAACCUUACCUGUUGACUGUUGAGGUGGUGGAAAGCCUACCUGUUGAUGUCAUCCUGGGAUGGGACUUACCUGUUGCCGUUGGAGAAAGAAAUACCUGGUAAGUCUGAAUAAGGAAUUGUAUGUAAAUGCUCUUUGUCAUGUCUUGACCCCAGCUCAAGCAAGUGUCCAACCACUCCCAAACUUUGUAAGUAGUCUGUGUGAGGGUGGAACUUUUGGGGCCUGAGGCUUUCCCCUAACCCACCAUCACCAUGCCUGCUGUAAUGCCUGCCCUAAUACAGCUCUUCUCCAGGCUGGGGAUACCAGUCGAGAUCCUCACUGACCAAGGAACCAACUUAAUCUCCAGGUGAUGCCCAGAUGCUGUUCAUGCAAUUGGGAAUUACAGCACUCAAAACCCCUCCAUACCCCCCACAGGAGUGCUAAACUUUCUGGCGACACAUUAGUUUUGUGCACUUUAUUGAAACAGCAGUAAUUGUUCUGAACCAAUAAAUUCACGUUUGAUGACUGGUCGGGUGCCACCCUGCGGUCUUUAAUGUGUAUCAGUCAAUCCCCUGAUCUGAUCAUCACAACAGAUGGGAAUGUUUUGCACGCUGGUUUUCGUAUCAAUCAUGGUUUCAGACCACAUGAUGAGCACUGCAGCAUUAACAUUAUAAAUUUAAUGUCAAGAUCAUGAAGUACAUUUUAUUGCUUUUCAAGACACUCUUUGUUAUUUACUUUUGCAAACAUAACAGCUUUACAGUAAAAAGAAGUAGACCAGUAAAGAGCGGUUAUAUUUAAAAACAGAAGUCUGUCACAUUAAAGGAUCAUGCAAGGUGACAUCCAUCACUGUUUGAUUCAGAGGAAAAGAGGAGUAUCAGAGAAAGCAAGUACAUCCCGGGGAGAGCAGAGCAAGACCGGGGCAGAGAAAGGGGGAGAGAGAGAGAGGGAGAGAGGGCUUCCUCUGGUGCAUUUUCCCCUCAGGGCAGAAAGGAGGAGGAGGAGGAGAGGGGCUGCUCCCCUGACAGAUCUGAAGAUGUCCUGUUUUGCUUUUCCUCAGCUCUCCCUCUUCCUGCAGGAAGCAACAUCACGCUGGGCACCAAAGCUUUGGCAAGCAGAGGCCACUCAGAUCUAGCACUGAUGUGUGCUGUCUGCAGAUGUAAUGCUUGAAUAAGGGAUCAACAUGCAGAUGUGCGAAAGUCAAAUCUAAUCGAUGUGAAAUGCAGAAGCAACUGGGCCACCGUGUACAUGUCCAGUCACAGGUAGAAUGUUUAAUUAUUUUAUGUCUCCUGAAAAAAUGAGCAUUAAGGCAGUUGAUUGGUCCUGCAGACAGAAGUCACAGUGUCAGGAUUACUUUAGCACCAAAUGGAGCAGAUGUGUUUUGCACCAAAAAGCCAAAAGUAUCUCAGAAACAGAUCCUGCAGCAGGGGUAGGCUGGAGCUGGUGCUGCUUGCAUGAUGAUGCUGACAUGAGCAGCAAACUGAAAUGCCAUUUUCCCAUCACAGCUCUGACCUUUGGAACAAACAGAAAGAAAAAGUCCUGGGUCUACAGAUUAAACUAUCUGUCUGGCAGUCCUAAUUAAAACAAAGGAUUAGUUCUGUGUUUUCAUUAAAAGAAAAAUUCAGAUAAUAUUCAGAUUCCUCGUUGCACUCUUGGCCUCAGCCACUCUGAAACGAGAUAAACUGUGGCUUUUGUUUAAUUUGAAGUUUGCAGCAGAGCAUUUAAAACAUUUGGCACACUGAAGUUCAGUCAUGGCUGCAUCUUCUCGCUUUUCCUGCUGCUAAUGAAAAAAUAACAACACCAGUAUUUUUUUCAAGGUAACUUUACCAAAAAUUCAUCCCCAGAUGUCUCAGUGGUCCAAAUUAACAAACAGAAAAAAAAAAAUCAAAAAAAAUCACAAGAUUGAGCGAAGCAUACAGCGAUAGCUAAUCACACUCAUGUCAGCUGGCAUCCACGUCGUAAAAGAGGGCAGUAUUUGGGAUCUGUGGAUAAAACAAAUCAAAGUUUAUACUUGAAAAAUGGACGACGACUGACUGCAGGCUAGUCAAACAUUGUGGGAGACUUGGGUCUGGGACUUUGAAAGUCAUACGUACUUGACCUGUAUGAAACAGUCAAAGCAAACAAAGAGGAAUAAUCCACACAAGAGAAUAAAAGAGUUUUAUCUGUUUUGGUCAGCCACUAAGAAAGAAUGAAAAAUUCAGUCUAAGUAGAAGCUUAAUGAAAAAUAAUAAUAAUAAUAAUAAUAAUAAUAAUAAUAAUAAUAAUAAUAAUAAUAAUAAUAAUAAUAAUAAUAAUAAUAUUUUUAACAUGAAAUGGACACAGAACUUAAUACGGUUGGCAUACAGUUACUAUAUCUGUGAUUUUUAUAAUUUAAAAUAAAUCCUGGCAGCCUUGAGUGUAAUAUUUAGAUGUAAGUGCCAAACAAAUGCGCCAGUUAAAGUAAAAAAAAAAAAACUGCCUGUUGCCAUAAAAGAACUCAAGUCAAUUCACACAAGAAUGAAAUCUCAAACAGGUAAUUUAAUCCCAAAAUAUCAAUAGUAGAAAAAUGAGAUGCAGACAAGUUGAUAUUGUGUAAGACUUAAGGGUGGGACUUUUUCAGGGUGGAAUCUCCUGAAAAGUACAGAUACUGCUGUAGUCACCAGGAAUCUUUGGAUGUAAAUGAGUUGUUAAACCAUUUAUGCUUGUGAGAGGCUUUUUGCUUUUAUUAAGGAUUUCAAACUGUUCUGAGAAACAAAACAGUCACAUUACGCAAUUAGAAAUACUGCUAACUGCAAAUAGCUACAGAAAUUCAGAGAUCAGUCACCAUUAAAAAAAUACAUCACAUGGCAGCCUGAAACGAAAUAUUAAAAUGAGAAUUCUGAAAAAACUGCAGUGAUGAAAGCAAAGUUUGUGUUAAAGUUAAACCUUAAAGGCAAAACAUAUCAAUAUAUCAGAGAGUUUUAUUCUCAAUGAUCAACAUCAGAGAGAUUUCAAUAUCGAGUUUGAGAUUCAAACAGUGUGAUUUUCAUUCAGCAGUGACAGCAGUAACUUCAUUCACACCACACACUCUCACACAGAUGUCACUUUCAUUCAUAAAAUCUGACAUCUUAAAAUAACAUCCAUAUAAACACACAUAUGUACAGUAUUUUAAACACACUCACUGAGGUCAGUGCUGACUGUUGUUCUCAUAUCUGUCCACACUUUAGUAUUUCACACUGACAUCAUCACCAACACACACCCUACACACACACACUGAGGCCGGCGGUCUCCCAGGACACACACACACACACACACUCAUGCUUUUACAGUGUCUAUCCAGGACCGGACUUUCUCUUUUCCACAUCAGUCACAUUUCUCUCUCCUCUCACCAUUCAUUCACAUGGCUGCCCCUGAGUGUGUGUGUGUGUGUAUGUUUGUGUUUUGUGUGUGUGUGUGUUUUCCUCUCAUUCUUAGUGAGAGACUUUAUCUCUGGAUCAGAUAAGGCUCUCGGUACUGGUCUUAAACCUUCAGCAGAUCUGUCCAAACACAUGAGCUCAUGUCAGAGCGCCGCUGCUGCCUGUUAACUCCAUGAGCUAAUAAAGAGUCCAUGUGUUGGUUAUUCAGGCCUUCAGGAGGUGUGGAGGGCCGAGGUUUCUUUCUUCAUUUCUGACCACCAUUUUUGUCAUUUUCUCAUCUCUGUGUUAACUUAUUCCCUGUACGCCACAUCUUACUUUUAACCCUUUCAGUCCAGGUUUUAUUCCCUUGCUCUUUCUCGGUCUGUAGGUCAGCGACACAGCUCCAACAGCUUGAAUUUUGAUCAUGUUAGCUCUAUCAGACGAGGAGAUCUCAAACACAGGGUGUCGUCAAGACAACAAAGCUGAAGCCACACAGGUAGAGCGGGGCGAGACCUGCAUGAUGGUCUCCUCUCUGAUGUGUGUGUGUGUGUAAGUGUAAGUGUGUAUGUGUGUAGGUACAAAGAGAACAAUAGCAGGCUAUGUGAAUUUUGUGUGUGCACAUGUAUUUCAUCGCCCUGUGUGGCUGCUCAGGGACUGGCUUAUGUGUGUGUGCGUAUGUGUGUGUGUGUGUGUGUGUGUUCGGUGUGUGUAACAUCCCUGCAGAGAGAGGAGGGGUCCACCAGGAGGGGACUAAGGUUACCCCCUGAUAGAGGCAGCGCGGGGUCAUCUCGCAGCGGGACACUUCUCAGGGGCGACCCCGCCGCCCCUUGUGGCCCCCCGAGCAGCCGGGACUUCUGAGGGGAGAAGAGGAAGGACCAGAGGAGAGACCCCCAGAGAACAGGACCCCCGGUCUGCCCCAGACCUCAGCACCCCGGCCUCAACAGAGCCCGACCCAGGUCCAAUGUGUUCCCAAUCAGGAGAAACACAAACAAGACUUUUAUUAAAGAGAGCGGGCCGCAGAGGAAAGCCGCACACACACAUACACAUACACUCACACACACACACGUAUAAAUACACACACUCAACACACACAUACACAUUUUCUCCAAACAGAAACAGGAGCAGAAUUAACUUGAAUUAACACUCAGAUUAAGAAACUGUAAAUCAGCACAAACAAAGAACUGUCAAAUCACGAUUAUCACCAUCACCCAUGACCCCGACUCCUGCCUCCCUUUCCUCCUCUCGCCUCCAUUCUUCUGCGUCUCUAUCCGGGAAAACAAACGGAGGGAUUAGGGAUUUGUGGAGGGGUAAUGGGAGCCAGGUGGAGGAGUGUGACUGCGGGGGUCUCCUGCCAGAUUAGGGGGAGCGGCAAGCCCCAAUCCCUCACACUCCUUCCUAAAGGCGGCUAAUGUUUCUUUUGAAGAAAUGAUCCUGUUUGGCCAUCUAAUAGCACUUGGCAAUUAUGAGCCUUUGCAGGGCAUGUUUGGUAUUACAGAGGCUGGCUACCUGCGGAGACUCAGAGGAGGGGAGAGAGUUUAUCAAGUGAUAACAUACAGAUCUAAGAUGAUGGAGACUUUAAACAGUAAAUACACAAGAAGUGCAUGCAGAAUCCAAAAGUUCUUCUUUGUGGACUUUGUCAAAUAUGUAUUAACUGUGUUUUUAUUUUUGCUUUUUUCUGUCUUACCAGCAUCACUUUGGGAGACACAACUCAUAAAGCUCCACGGACUCUAGAUGGGUGAGCAUGAGCCCUGAAGAGGAUCUGACAGUCUGUGAGUUGGCACAAAGCAAACCUGAUCUCAUCCCAGGGAAGAUUCUCUGGACCGCUCUGUCGAUCCAUGUCUGGAGGGACGGGAAGACCCUGUGGUCGAGGACUUCACACCAUAAAUUCUUCUGAGUGCAUACUUAAAGUAGUUCAGACCUAAC
Molecule: long non-coding RNA, 7851 nt
Filed under: Xyrichtys novacula (pearly razorfish)
Lineage: Eukaryota; Metazoa; Chordata; Actinopteri; Labriformes; Labridae
Source: RNAcentral